AAAAAAAAAAAAAAAGGGAAAGAGAGAGGCAGUAGUUGGUAAAAGUCAUCAAGUGGGCACGCCAUGAAGGUUACUGUGACAGCGAAAGGCAGAAAUUAUUGCUGCAAAACGCUAAAAAAAGAGAUAAUAUUACAGCUUCGUGUUGGGUCCCACUAAUUGAUGAAAAAGCUGUCCCACUCUUCCACUUGUUUCGAGCCCUCACGGCACUUCCAUAAAAGUCAGGUGACGUGGUCAAUUCCAACUCCGCAACCCAUUUUAACCGGAUUUGGCGGUAAAAGCAAAGCCAUUUAACCAUUGUACUGAAAUUUUUACCCGCGCGUGGACAUCACCUGCCAUUACCAC
Molecule: long non-coding RNA, 342 nt
Filed under: Manihot esculenta (cassava)
Lineage: Eukaryota; Viridiplantae; Streptophyta; Magnoliopsida; Malpighiales; Euphorbiaceae
Description: long non-coding RNA (MESC_LNC010600)
Source: RNAcentral